RNAcentral lists this ribosomal RNA (565 nucleotides) under uncultured Glomeromycotina. RNAcentral's name for it is "SSU rRNA". It matches the Rfam family "Eukaryotic small subunit ribosomal RNA", at positions 548 to 1114 of the family's 1831-position model. The record is from RNAcentral. Lineage: Eukaryota; Fungi; Glomeromycota.
UUGGAGGGCAAGUCUGGUGCCAGCAGCCGCGGUAAUUCCAGCUCCAAUAGCGUAUAUUAAAGUUGUUGCAGUUAAAAAGCUCGUAGUUGAAUUUCGGGGUCAGUAGGUUGGUCAUGCCACUGGUAUGUACUGGUCUCACUGAUUCCUCCUUCCUGAUGAGCCGUAAUGCCAUUAAUUUGGUGUUGCGAGGAAUCUGGACUGUUACUUUGAAAAAAUUAGAGUGUUUAAAGCAAGCUAACGCUUGAAUACAUUAGCAUGGAAUAAUGAAAUAGGACGUUCGAUCCUAUUUUGUUGGUUUCUAGGAUUGACGUAAUGAUUAAUAGGGAUAGUUGGGGGCAUUAGUAUUCAAUUGUCAGAGGUGAAAUUCUUGGAUUUAUUGAAGACUAACUGCUGCGAAAGCAUUUGCCAAGGAUGUUUUCAUUAAUCGAGAACGAAAGUUAGGGGAUCGAAGACGAUCAAAUACCGUCGUAGUCUUAACCAUAAACUAUGCCGACUAGGGAUCGGAUGAUGUUAAUUUUUUAAUGACUCAUUCGGCGCCUUACGGGAAACCAAAGUGUUUGGGUUC